AGAGUUUGAUCAUGGCUCAGAACGAACGCUGGCGGCAUGCCUAACACAUGCAAGUCGAACGAGACCUUCGGGUCUAGUGGCGCACGGGCGCGUAACGCGUGGGAAUCUACCCUUGGGUUCGGAAUAACUCAGAGAAAUUUGAGCUAAUACCGGAUGAUGUCGCAAGACCAAAGAUUUAUCGCCCAAGGAUGAGCCCGCGUAGGAUUAGCUUGUUGGUGAGGUAAAAGCUCACCAAGGCGACGAUCCUUAGCUGGUCUGAGAGGAUGAUCAGCCACACUGGGACUGAGACACGGCCCAGACUCCUACGGGAGGCAGCAGUGGGGAAUAUUGGACAAUGGGCGAAAGCCUGAUCCAGCAAUGCCGCGUGAGUGAUGAAGGCCUUAGGGUUGUAAAGCUCUUUUACCCGGGAUGAUAAUGACAGUACCGGGAGAAUAAGCCCCGGCUAACUCCGUG
RNAcentral lists this ribosomal RNA (453 nucleotides) under uncultured bacterium. Its description in RNAcentral is "bacterial SSU rRNA". It matches the Rfam family "Bacterial small subunit ribosomal RNA", at positions 8 to 507 of the family's 1533-position model. The record is from RNAcentral.